Sapajus apella (tufted capuchin) is the source of this 807-nucleotide long non-coding RNA. RefSeq lists it as uncharacterized. The transcript has 3 exons. NCBI's taxonomy places the organism in Eukaryota, Metazoa, Chordata, Mammalia, Primates, Cebidae. The record is from RefSeq and is a predicted model, not a curated record.
UUCAGCCUGAGUGACAGAGUGAGACUGUGUCUCAAAACAAACAAAAAACUACAUGCAGGAUUGUGUCUGUUCCCCAGUAGCCUAGGAAGUCAGACUUGAGCAUAAGCCCUGGCAACUUCUGAACUGCUCAGUGAGGCUUGUUUAGGGUUGGAGAGAUUUUAAAUGACAGCUAACAACCACAAUACUGAGCAUUUACUGAGCAAUUACUAUAUGCAAGGCACUGUACCAAAUAUGCCUCUUACAUAUACUCAAACCUCUCAGAAAAGCCUCAUUACAACCCUAUAAAGUGAGUAAUAUGUAAAAGCCCUUUUUACAGAUGAGAAAACUGAGGCACAAUGAGGCCAAAUGAUUUGCCAAGGUGUAACCAGUUUGUUUGAUUUCACCUUCUCCCAAGGACCAAGGUGGAUGGUGUCUUGGGCUUUUGCUUUGCAGGGGCUCCUGGCCAAGGGCUUUUGACAGUGGACAAGUGGGCCCACGGAAGCAAGCUCCCCAAGAACACCCCUCUGGGAAGCUUUUACUGGUGCUGGAGGAGAGCAAGCUGGUUGCGUCUGGCAAAGGGGCAACGUCCUUUUCGGAGACACCAAGAGAGAAUCCCUCCUGCCUGACUACCUUUGAGCUGAGACAUCAGUUUUUUUCCUGCCUUUGGACUAGAACCAAAACACCUGCUCUUCCUGGGUAUCCAGCCUGCUGGCCUUUGCACUAGAAUGAUAGCAUCCAUCUCCUUGGUCUUCAACUUGCUAACUGCACAUCUUAGGAUUUAUCAACCUCUAUAAUCACUAGAGAUGGGGUUUCACCAUGUUGGCCAGG